Molecule: ribosomal RNA, 226 nt
Filed under: uncultured bacterium
Lineage: Bacteria
Description: partial 16S ribosomal RNA
Rfam family: Bacterial small subunit ribosomal RNA
Source: RNAcentral
UACGGAGGGUGCGAGCGUGUCCGGAUUUAUUGGGUUUAAAGGGUGCGUAGGUGGCUUAGUAAGUCAGUGGUGAAAGCCGAUCGCUUAACGAUCGAACUGCCAUUGAUACUGCCAGGCUUGAGUAUAGUUGAGGUAAGGCGGAAUUGACAGUGUAGCGGUGAAAUGCAUAGAUAUUGUCAAGAACACCAAUUGCAAGGCAGCUUCUAAAGUAUAACUGACGCGUGAG